AGAAAUUUAGGAUAAUCCUUUAAACCAAAGGCCUUCAAAGCCUUAAAUAAGAGUUGAACUCUCUCAGUUUCUG
RNAcentral lists this transfer RNA (73 nucleotides) under Leptosomus discolor (cuckoo roller). It matches the Rfam family "tRNA". From Rfam's summary of the family: Transfer RNA (tRNA) molecules are approximately 80 nucleotides in length. Their secondary structure includes four short double-helical elements and three loops (D, anti-codon, and T loops). Lineage: Eukaryota; Metazoa; Chordata; Aves; Leptosomiformes; Leptosomidae. The record is from Rfam by way of RNAcentral.